UACGUAGGGGGCGAGCGUUGUCCGGAUUUAUUGGGCGUAAAGAGCGUGUAGGCGGCCAGACAGGUCCGUUGUGAAAACUCGAGGCUCAACCUCGAGAUGUCGAUGGAAACUGUCUGGCUAGAGUCCGGAAGAGGAGUGUGGAAUUCCUGGUGUAGCGGUGAAAUGCGCAGAUAUCAGGAAGAACACCUAUGGCGAAGGCAGCACUCUGGGACGGUACUGACGCUGAGACGCGAAAGCGUGGGGAGCGAACAGG
Molecule: ribosomal RNA, 253 nt
Filed under: uncultured bacterium
Lineage: Bacteria
Description: partial 16S ribosomal RNA
Rfam family: Bacterial small subunit ribosomal RNA
Source: RNAcentral